GAUGAACGCUAGCUACAGGCUUAACACAUGCAAGUCGCGGGGCAGCAUGGGGGUUGCUUGCAAUCCCCGAUGGCGACCGGCGCACGGGUGAGUAACGCGUAUCCAACCUGCCCUUCACCACGGGAUAACCCGGCGAAAGUCGGACUAAUACCGUAUGUUGUCCAUUGACGGCAUCCGAUUUGGACGAAAGGCUUGGCGGUGAGGGAUGGGGAUGCGUCCGAUUAGCAAGACGGCGGGGUAACGGCCCACCGUGGCUACGAUCGGUAGGGGUUCUGAGAGGAAGGUCCCCCACACUGGAACUGAGACACGGUCCAGACUCCUACGGGAGGCAGCAGUGAGGAAUAUUGGUCAAUGGGCGUAAGCCUGAACCAGCCAAGUAGCGUGCAGGAUGACGGCCCUAUGGGUUUUAAACUGCUUUUAUGCGGGGAUAAAGUGGCCCACGUGUGGGCUUUUGCAGGUACCGCAUGAAUAAGGACCGGCUAAUUCCGUG
Molecule: ribosomal RNA, 490 nt
Filed under: uncultured bacterium
Lineage: Bacteria
Description: partial 16S ribosomal RNA
Rfam family: Bacterial small subunit ribosomal RNA
Source: RNAcentral